Molecule: long non-coding RNA, 1325 nt
Organism: Daphnia carinata
Lineage: Eukaryota; Metazoa; Arthropoda; Branchiopoda; Diplostraca; Daphniidae
Exons: 2
Source: RefSeq, a predicted model, not a curated record
GCCAAAGCUUGUGCUACUGUAAGAAAUUUAAAUGAGAUACCAUUCUAUAAUAAGGUUUGUCGUGGUGUUGUUUUGAAUGUGCGGGAAACGAUGGGGUUUUGCUAUUUCGUGCUAUGUGAUAAAAGGAAAAAUCAAAGGAAAACGGAAAAUUCUCUCGUAAUGUUCUCUCGUAAUGUUCUCUCGGGUAUACAUUGUCGGGUCGUAGAUGUACCAUGAUAUGAGAUGAUGGCUUCAGCUCCAAGACAUGUUCUCCCCCAUAUUCAACACAAAAUGUGAACCAGUUUGCUUGUCUGGUUUGCUUGGCUUGAUAGCUAAACUGAGGAGUAUAAUAUUCAUUCAGACACAUCUGCAUCUUGUUUGAAUAACAUAAAGCAGACGACAUUUUUAGUGUCAUGACCCCCAUUACGGCUAUCGGGAAAUCUUCCCCAAAUUGUGGUUGAAUGAGCCGUAUUUUCUUGGAUUUCUUAAAGAUUUUUCCCCUUGUGUGAUAAGAGACGCGGCGCUGUGUUUAACUGUUCAUCCUGAGGGAGUCUAUUUGUCCUUUAUGGGAAAAAUUACUCCGUUUACGACAGACUCUCUACUGCCCCGCGAAGAGAAGGGCCUCACAGCUUUCACAUUACUACCCAUGAGAUGUUUACGAUUAAAAGCCUAUCUCCUCUCUUUCCAAUUUCUUAACCCCUAACCGAAAUGUUUUCUUUUUUUAUCGAAAACUCUAGCCUGAAAAAACAAAAUUACCAUUUUCUUUUACAAGUCCUGCAUUUCUCCUAAUAGAAUUAAAAUGUGCUAGCAGCUGUAUCCACAACUCCAAGUUAAGUAUCUAAUAUGACAAACUGCUAGAGACGGUGGUUGGCUUUCUCUUCCGCUUCCCCCAACAGGGGCCAACUUUGACUGUCACAGCAAACAAGGGCGUUUCUAACUCUGCACUUAAACUUGAGACGACUUGCCUAAGUCGGAAACAUGCAUAAUCGAUGCUUUGUGACGAAGCAGCGUCUAGUUGUAUCCGGAUGGCCCUCCUCUGUUGUCCAAAGUAACUUGAGCGUGAGAUAAUUCCUUCGCGAAAAACCGUGUGUAUUGUUACAUGGCAACGUGGUUGUGCGGUGAGCAUGAAUUCGAUCUCUCUUUUUACAGUUUGCAAUCGCGAAAGCUGUAAGUUAAUGUUAAAGAGCAAUUGUGAAUGUUGUAUCGGGUGGCUGUUGCACUAAAUAAUAAUAAUACGUUUGACAAAAAACGAAAGGCACCUAAAUGUGUGAUCACGGGGGCGUUAUGGUUAUAAACAAAGCCAGUUAUUUAUAUUACUUUGAAUUUGUCAAUAGUUCUUAACUAAU